Molecule: ribosomal RNA, 468 nt
Filed under: uncultured bacterium
Lineage: Bacteria
Description: partial 16S ribosomal RNA
Rfam family: Bacterial small subunit ribosomal RNA
Source: RNAcentral
GACGAACGCUGGCGGCGUGCUUAACACAUGCAAGUCGAACGGAAAGGCCCUGCUUUUGUGGGGUGCUCGAUUGGCGAACGGGUGAGUAACACGUGAGUAACCUGCCCUUGACUUUGGGAUAACUUCAGGAAACUGGGGCUAAUACCGGAUAGGAGCUCCUGCUGCAUGGUGUGGGUUGGAAAGUUUCGGCGGUUGGGGAUGGACUCGCGGCUUAUCAGCUUGUUGGUGGGGUAGUGGCUUACCAAGGCUUUGACGGGUAGCCGGCCUGCGAGGGUGACCGGCCACAUUGGGACUGAGAUACGGCCCAGACUCCUACGGGAGGCAGCAGUGGGGAAUAUUGCACAAUGGGCGGAAGCCUGAUGCAGCAACGCCGCGUGCGGGAUGACGGCCUUCGGGUUGUAAACCGCUUUCGACUGUGACGAAGCGUGAGUGACGGUAAUGGGUAAAGAAGCACCGGCUAACUACGUG